This 1123-nucleotide long non-coding RNA is filed under the name Salvia miltiorrhiza (redroot sage). RNAcentral describes it as "long non-coding RNA (SMIL_LNC004781)". The record is from RNAcentral. Lineage: Eukaryota; Viridiplantae; Streptophyta; Magnoliopsida; Lamiales; Lamiaceae.
AAAUAGUGGGCAUUGGAUUCUUACAAUCAUUCAAGUUGAAAAAGGACAAGCUUUUCUAAUGGAUCCUGUCAGUCAUCGUAAUAAGGACAUCAUAUGGAAGUCUGUCGUCGACACGUAAGUUUUGAAUUAUACAACUAAUUAAUCAUCUCUUUCAUUUUAUUUGAUGUUAAUGUUAACUUUAUAUAAAUUUCCUUUCAAGUGCGAUAAGUAUGGUCACUGCAAAAAAGGGAAAGAAAAUGAAAAAAGCAACUUGGGAAGUUAUAAAGGUAUGUAUGCUUAAUUUACUGACAGUUUUGGGCAGUUUAUUUGAUGUUAAUGUUAACGUUAUAUAAAUUCUUUCAUGUUUUUGUUGGAUAGUUGGUAAAAUGCAGCCUAACCAUUUUAUUUCUGUAAUAAUUAUAGGGUCCUACACAACCUGAUGACAAGCAAUGUGGUUAUUUUGUGAUGAGGUUUAUGAGAGAUAUUAUCGAAGGGUUUCAAAAUGCAGCAGCCUCUACUUUUCACUUGUCAUCACUGGUAUUAAAUAUAUAUACUUGAAUAUUGUAUAAACAUAUAUUAGUAGUUAUUAAUAAAAUAUAUUGGUGAUCUUGUUUGUAUUCGUAGUUUAAAGGAGUUACUACUUAUUCUCAAAAUCAACUCAACGAGGUCCGUGAAGAAUGGGCAACAUGUGUGAUAAAGCAUGCAUUGGAUGGAUAGGUACGUUUAAAGUUUAAUUAUUCUGAGUGGUAUGUCAAUUUUUUGAGGGAAAUGUUUAUGAUGUAUUGAGCUCGGGGGAGUUGGAAUGCCUCCUUACUUUUUUGGUUGUGGGAGAUUGAAUGGUCUUCGCUUGGUUUAGCUUUCAAGUUAAUGAAUGCUUUAUCAUUCGUCACUUUUCGAUGUGGUUGCAAACUCGUGUUUCUUGUUUCUGACAAGUACUGUUAACUGUUGUAUUAUCCUACAGAUGUUUUACAUGAAGCGAAAUAGAGACGUGACGGGAGAAAGGUUAUUUCAAUCGAGAUGGCUAUCUAUCAAGCUAGUAGCAUCAUUUUGUAGACUUUGUUUGCACGCACGAUUGAUAGAACAUGUGUUUUUGUUAACUCUAUUUUGGAUGGUGAUUGCAUGAAAAUUUCGAAUAAUAUAUGAC